This 239-nucleotide ribosomal RNA is filed under the name uncultured Eubacteriales bacterium. Its description in RNAcentral is "uncultured Clostridiales bacterium partial 16S ribosomal RNA". It matches the Rfam family "Bacterial small subunit ribosomal RNA", at positions 100 to 339 of the family's 1533-position model. Lineage: Bacteria; Bacillati; Bacillota; Clostridia; Eubacteriales. The record is from RNAcentral.
GGACGGGUGAGUAACACGUAAGCAACCUGCCUAUAAGAGGGGAAUAACAGUGAGAAAUUACUGAUAAUACCGCAUAAGCUGGAGGUAUCGCAUGAUACAUUCAGAAAAGAUUUAUCGCUUAUAGAUGGGCUUGCGUCUGAUUAGCUAGUUGGUGAGAUAACAGCUCACCAAGGCGACGAUCAGUAGCCGGAUUGAGAGGUUGAACGGCCACAUUGGGACUGAGACACGGCCCAGACUCC